CCCUUAGAUGUUCUGGGCCGCACGCGUGCUACACUGAGUAAUUCAAUGGGUAAGGGAACGCUAGAGCAUUACCUAAUCUUGAAAUUUGCUCGUGAUGGGGAUCGACGGUUGCAAUUUUCCGUCGUGAACGAGGAAUACCUUGUAGGCGCAUGUCAUCAUCAUGCGCCGAAUACGUCCCUGCCCUUUGUACACACCGCCCGUCGCUCCUAUCGAUUGAGUGAUCCGGUGAGGCUCUGGGACCUGGACGGAAAGAGCGUUUCGCUUGUUCUGUUUGGGAAACUUGGUCGAACCUUAUCAUUUAGAGGAAGGAGAAGUCGUAACA
This 322-nucleotide ribosomal RNA is filed under the name uncultured eukaryote. RNAcentral describes it as "partial 18S ribosomal RNA". It matches the Rfam family "Eukaryotic small subunit ribosomal RNA", at positions 1470 to 1796 of the family's 1831-position model. The record is from RNAcentral.